GCGCGAAAACUUUACAAUGCUGGCAACAGCGAUAAGGGAACCUCGAGUGCCAGGUUACAAAUCUGGCUGUCGAGAUGCCUAAAAAGCAUUUCAUAGCAAGGGCCGGGCAAGACCGGUGCCAGCCGCCGCGGUAACACCGGCGGCUCGAGUGGUAACCGUUAUUAUUGGGUCUAAAGGGUCUGUAGCCGGCCGGAUAAGUCUCUUGAGAAAUCUGGCAGCUUAACUGUCAGGCUUUCAGGAGAUACUGUCUGGCUCGAGGCCGGGAGAGGUGAGGGGUACUUCAGGGGUAGGGGUGAAAUCUGGUAAUCCUUGAAGGAUCACCAGUGGCGAAGGCGUUUCACCAGAACGGACCUGACGGCAAGGGACGAAAGCUAGGGGCACGAACCG
Molecule: ribosomal RNA, 387 nt
Filed under: uncultured bacterium
Lineage: Bacteria
Description: bacterial SSU rRNA
Rfam family: Archaeal small subunit ribosomal RNA
Source: RNAcentral